Molecule: transfer RNA, 65 nt
Filed under: Hospesneotomae protracta (western bloodsucking conenose)
Lineage: Eukaryota; Metazoa; Arthropoda; Insecta; Hemiptera; Reduviidae
Description: Triatoma protracta (western bloodsucking conenose) tRNA-Asn
Source: RNAcentral
UUAAUUGAAGCCAAAAUAGAGGCCUUUCAUUGUUAAUGAAAAAAAUGACCCCAAGUCCAAUUAAA